Long non-coding RNA from Amphimedon queenslandica, 621 nucleotides. RefSeq lists it as uncharacterized. NCBI's taxonomy places the organism in Eukaryota, Metazoa, Porifera, Demospongiae, Haplosclerida, Niphatidae. The transcript is spliced from 3 exons. The record is from RefSeq and is a predicted model, not a curated record.
UUUAAAAAAUGAAGCUAUGUCACUAAUGACGUGUCAUAAUGAUAAUAAUAGAGAUAUGGCUGAUAUUUUGCCUGUAUUGUUUCACUCUUAAAAUAGUCUUGUUCUUCCUGAUAAGCAGUACAAUAGCUCCUGGAGUCAACUAGUCUUUAUAAAGACCAUCGUUAUGCUCCAUUAGCAUUUUAAAAGAAUUAUCAGUUUGGGUGCUCAACUAUGACUUCAUAGAACGUCACUGCGGUUAGCUUUGGUAUGCCAUUUCGUUUAUAGGGAGUCCGGCUCUCAAGGUUUCCAAGGGCUGAGAGACCAAGACCUGAGAUCCUGAAGCGGCAUCGGGUGACUAAGAACCUGUGAAAGUCUCAUUCUUAAUUUAUAUUCCUAUAGAAAGUUUUUUUCAGUUUUUUUUGGUCCAAACUCAGUUGGGACAUAGUAUAUAUAUUUCUUCUUUUUGCAGUUUCAUACUAAAGUUUCUGAUACUGGAAGUGACGGAUCCGACUGAGUUCUAAUCGUUUGAGUUUAUACCUGGACUGAAUGAGUUCUUAUUAUUUGAGUUUCUUAGUAUAGUUUUACCAGGAGUGACUUAUUGGACGGACUUCUAAUUAAUGUUUUACUUCUCACUGUUUUAUC